RNAcentral lists this ribosomal RNA (245 nucleotides) under uncultured bacterium. RNAcentral describes it as "partial small subunit ribosomal RNA". It matches the Rfam family "Bacterial small subunit ribosomal RNA", at positions 26 to 285 of the family's 1533-position model. The record is from RNAcentral.
AGAAUCAACGCUGGCGGCGUGCCUAACACAUGCAAGUCGCACGAGAAAGGGGCUUCGGCCCUGAGUAAAGUGGCGCGCGGGUGAGUAACACGUGAAUAAUCUACCUCUGAGUGGGGAAUAACUGAGAGAAAUCUUAGCUAAUACCGCAUAAUACUUACGAGUCAAAGCAGCAAUGCGCUUGGAGAGGAGUUCGCGGCCGAUUAGUUAGUUGGCGGGGUAAUGGCCCACCAAGACGAUGAUCGGUA